CAGCCGCCGCGGUAAGACAGAGGAUGCAAGCGUUAUCCGGAAUGAUCGGGCGUAAAGCGUCUGUAGGUGGCUUUUCAAGUCCGCCGUCAAAUCCCAGGGCUCAACCCUGGACAGGCGGUGGAAACUACCAAGCUGGAGUACGGUAGGGGCAGGGGGAAUUUCCGGUGGAGCGGUGAAGUGCGUUGAGAUCGGAAAGAACACCAACGGCGAAAGCACUCUGCUGGGCCGACACUGACACUGAGAGACGAAAGCUAGGGGAGCAAAUGGGAUUAGAUACCCGCGUAGUCCCUGUCUCUUAUAC
Molecule: ribosomal RNA, 301 nt
Filed under: uncultured bacterium
Lineage: Bacteria
Description: partial 16S ribosomal RNA
Rfam family: Bacterial small subunit ribosomal RNA
Source: RNAcentral